Molecule: ribosomal RNA, 253 nt
Filed under: uncultured bacterium
Lineage: Bacteria
Description: partial 16S ribosomal RNA
Rfam family: Bacterial small subunit ribosomal RNA
Source: RNAcentral
UACGUAGGGGGCAAGCGUUGUCCGGAUUUAUUGGGCGUAAAGAGCGUGUAGGCGGUUUGGUAGGUCCGCUGUGAAAACUCGAGGCUCAACCUCGAGACGCCGGUGGAAACCAUCAGACUAGAGUCCGGAAGAGGAGAGUGGAAUUCCUGGUGUAGCGGUGAAAUGCGCAGAUAUCAGGAAGAACACCCGUGGCUAAGGCGGCUCUCUAGUACGGUACUGACGCUGAGACGCGAAAGCGUGGGGAGCGAACAGG